Termitomyces sp. J132 is the source of this 85-nucleotide transfer RNA. It matches the Rfam family "tRNA". From Rfam's summary of the family: Transfer RNA (tRNA) molecules are approximately 80 nucleotides in length. Their secondary structure includes four short double-helical elements and three loops (D, anti-codon, and T loops). Further hydrogen bonds mediate the characteristic L-shaped molecular structure. tRNAs have two regions of fundamental functional importance: the anti-codon, which is responsible for specific mRNA codon recognition, and the 3' end, to which the tRNAs corresponding amino acid is attached (by aminoacyl-tRNA synthetases). tRNAs cope with the degeneracy of the genetic code in two manners: having more than one tRNA (with a specific anti-codon) for a particular amino acid; and 'wobble' base-pairing, i.e. permitting non-standard base-pairing at the 3rd anti-codon position. The record is from Rfam. Lineage: Eukaryota; Fungi; Basidiomycota; Agaricomycetes; Agaricales; Lyophyllaceae.
CCGACCUUAGCUCAGUUGGUAGAGCGCAAGACUGUAAUGGAUAAUUUCUAUCUUGAUGCCGCCUGUUCGAUCCAGGCAGGUCGGA